GACGAACGCUGGCGGCGUGCUUAACACAUGCAAGUCGAACGGAAAGGCCCUGCUUGCAGGGUACUCGAGUGGCGAACGGGUGAGUAACACGUGGGUGAUCUGCCCUGCACUUCGGGAUAAGCCUGGGAAACUGGGUCUAAUACCGGAUAGGAGCCAUUUUUAGUGUGAUGGUUGGAAAGUUUUUCGGUUUUGGAUUGAGUCGCGGCCUAUCAGCUUGUUGGUGGGGUAAUGGCCUACCAAGGCGGCGACGGGUAGGCGGCCUGAGAGGGUGGACGGCCACAUUGGGACUGAGAUACGGCCCAGACUCCUACGGGAGGCAGCAGUGGGGAAUAUUGCACAAUGGGCGCAAGCCUGAUGCAGCGACGCCGCGUGGGGGAUGACGGCCUUCGGGUUGUAAACUCCUUUCGCUAGGGACGAAGCUUUUUGUGACGGUACCUAGAUAAGAAGCACCGGCUAACUACGU
RNAcentral lists this ribosomal RNA (463 nucleotides) under uncultured bacterium. RNAcentral describes it as "partial 16S ribosomal RNA". It matches the Rfam family "Bacterial small subunit ribosomal RNA", at positions 28 to 506 of the family's 1533-position model. The record is from RNAcentral.